UGGGAGGGCCAAAGUUUGCCCAUGCCUGCACUAGAUCCUAUCUGAUCUUUUAAGUUAAACCUGCUUAGCCUGGUGAGUACUUGGUUGGGAGAUUGCCAGUGAAUACUAGGUGCCUUAGCCA
Molecule: ribosomal RNA, 121 nt
Filed under: Anolis carolinensis (green anole)
Lineage: Eukaryota; Metazoa; Chordata; Lepidosauria; Squamata; Anolidae
Source: RNAcentral